This 73-nucleotide transfer RNA is filed under the name Planctomycetia bacterium. Its description in RNAcentral is "tRNA-Cys". It matches the Rfam family "tRNA". From Rfam's summary of the family: Transfer RNA (tRNA) molecules are approximately 80 nucleotides in length. Their secondary structure includes four short double-helical elements and three loops (D, anti-codon, and T loops). The record is from RNAcentral. Lineage: Bacteria; Pseudomonadati; Planctomycetota; Planctomycetia.
GGCGUCGUAGCCAAACGGCUAAGGCAGCGGAUUGCAAAUCCGCGAUUUCCCGGUUCGAAUCCGGGCGACGCCU